This is a long non-coding RNA of Betta splendens (Siamese fighting fish), 1812 nucleotides long. NCBI's taxonomy places the organism in Eukaryota, Metazoa, Chordata, Actinopteri, Anabantiformes, Osphronemidae. The record is from Ensembl.
CUGCUUGAAGAUGGACGUUGUGAAGUAACACAUGGGCACAGUGUCUGUCAGCAGGGUUCUGGUGCCGAGCAGGUUGAAGCUGGAGCCCAAUCCUCACCGGAGCUUCUUUUCCUCACCGCAGACGCUCUGACUCUGCCGUGCGUGGACCUACAAGCCUCCCUGCAUAUCCAUGCGACGGCUGACACGUUAGCCAACCUUGACGGAGCACGUCAGCUGGAGCCACAAAGCGGGGGUCCUGGGUUUAUUACACCCUUAGGUCCUCUGAGUUUCGGCUCUUCUCUCAUCCGUCAGGCAGCCGACGACUCGGAAGGAGACCGACCUCGGCCCGAGAGGCUUCGCACUGACAACGGGGACCUCGGUUGUGAUCACGUACAACCCUCCGCUCCGUGGCCAGCCUCAGAUGGAAUUACUGACAGAGCAUCUGCGGAAGGUGACGAGGAGCUUAUUCACAAAAAGGAAAACGCAGUCGAGUCCUCGCCAGAGGGACAAUGCAAACGCAGAGCGGACGCGUCUUUGUUUCUCCCCACUGAGCAAAAAAUAGCAAUCGAGGAUAUUCACGAACUGAGCAGAGAGCUGUCAAACCUGGCACCAGUGCCUGCAGAUCAUUUUAUCAUCUCAGAGGAGAACCAUGUUGCCUUUAUUACUUUAGAGUUAAAUGAUCCAUUUUUCUUCUGGACGCCUAAACCUCGAAGGACAGAUCUCCAAUUUGAGGUUGAUCGGGAAACGGUAGAAGAGAUGCCUCACAAAACCCACAAGAGCGCGGAGAGCAAAGCCCGCUCCAAAAAGGACAAAGCGGGCGGACAUCACCAUGGGCCUCAGGUGUCAAAGAAGCCCGAGGCUCCGCACGGUUCUGCCCAACACUCCAGCAACAAGCAGGACGCCCGUCCUCACGCCAGGGACGAUCACGCGCCUCCAGGGCCCGAAGACAGGGAGAAUGAGGCGCCCGAGCCGCACGCGGCCGCUGAGGCGGCUCCAAGCAAACCACAGGCCAAAAAGAAAAAGAAACAAGGCCAGAGCGCGGCAGCGCGGAGUCCGGCGCCGGCCGACGUGGAGACACCCAAGAGCGCCAAAGGACGGAUUGAGAUGUUUGAAGCCAAGCUGGGAGCGGCCGCUGGGAGAGCUGGGAAGGAGCGCGAUCGAGCAGACGGUACUGGGAGGAAGUCCCAGCAGACAGAGGACAAGGCUGCGCGGGGACAGCCCCCUCCCGACUGCAGGGAUCCGAAAGACGCGCCGCCCAAGAGCUGCGGCGCCGCCCUGCAGGACGACGUGGUCAAGAGGCGCCGCUUGUCCGGGGACAAGUUCGGGAAGAUCGUCAGCGUCCUGGAGCCGAAGGCGCCGGAGACGGGGGUUUGUGUGAAGGCGGAGGGAGACGAAGCCGAGCCGGAGGCCGGAGCCACUCGUAGGAAAGCCUACAGCGACGUGGUGAAACAGAAAGCCCCGCCUCCGGAAGAGCCCACGGUCGUGCAGCCGAUCCAGGCCGCGGCCGUGAGCGGCGACGCCCAGAGCCUGCGCCUGUGGUGCCAGUUCGCCCGCGCCUCCUGCGACCACACUGUGACCUGGAGCCGGGAGGGCGCCGUCCUGGCGGAGGUCCGGAGAAGGUACUGGGGCUCCACCGUGCAUGAGAUGGGGGGGCGGCGGGGGAGGUGGGGUCGAGGGGUGGUUGUGACGCGGUUCCUGUCGCUGAAGUGCAGGGGACGAGAGCCGGGCGUCGCUCACCAUCUCCAACGCCUCUCACAAGGACCUGGGCAGGUACCACUGCAGCCUCAGCAGCCCGCGUGGGUCCACCAGCCUGGACUUCCUGCUGACGUAUGA